RNAcentral lists this ribosomal RNA (537 nucleotides) under uncultured bacterium. RNAcentral describes it as "bacterial SSU rRNA". It matches the Rfam family "Bacterial small subunit ribosomal RNA", at positions 777 to 1320 of the family's 1533-position model. The record is from RNAcentral.
AAUAGAUACCCUGGUAGUCCACGCCGUAAACGAUGAGUACUAGGUGUAGGAGGGUCCAACCUUCUGUGCCGCAGUUAACACAAUAAGUACUCCGCCUGGGAAGUACGAUCGCAAGAUUAAAACUCAAAGGAAUUGACGGGGGCCCGCACAAGCAGCGGAGCAUGUGGUUUAAUUCGAAGCAACGCGAAGAACCUUACCUGGACUUGACAUCCCCUGAAUUACUCGUAAUGGAGGAAGCCCUUCGGGGCAGGGAGACAGGUGGUGCAUGGUUGUCGUCAGCUCGUGUCGUGAGAUGUUAGGUUAAGUCCUGCAACGAGCGCAACCCUUACCAUUAGUUGCUACCAUUAAGUUGAGCACUCUAGUGAGACUGCCCGGGUUAACCGGGAGGAAGGUGGGGAUGACGUCAAAUCAUCAUGCCCCUUAUGUCCAGGGCUACACACGCGCUACAAUGGUGAGUACAAUUAGAUGCAAACCCGCGAGGGGGAGCCAAACUAAAAACUCAUCCCAGUUCGGAUUGUAGGCUGAAACUCGCCUACA